Molecule: long non-coding RNA, 702 nt
Organism: Triplophysa rosa
Lineage: Eukaryota; Metazoa; Chordata; Actinopteri; Cypriniformes; Nemacheilidae
Exons: 6
Source: RefSeq, a predicted model, not a curated record
UAUUGCCGUUUCAAUUCUCCAGCACUAGUACAAAUGGAGUCACAGUUUUAACGUGAAAUCCAAAUAAAUGACAACUUCUGGAUGUGCUUCCCGGGAAUUGGAGACACGUGACAAUGACGUUAACUCAGUUAGCAACGAUCUCCCGCGAAACGCACACGAGGAAAGAAAAGCACAAAACAGGUUUGGAGCAACAAGGGUAUUGCAUAAAUGUGUAGCUGUGACAAUUCUAUACCAAGAAUGACAAGCACGGGCUUCAAGAGCAAUUAAUCAGCAAAUACAAAGAAUCAGAAUACAUCAAGAUUGGCAAAACUAAGUCAACAUCACCAAGAUUGCUUUAACAGAGCAACUGAACUGGACUCAAAAAGACUCCAUACAGCAAUCACAGGAAGUGUGCAUGUUAUGCUCUGUGGGAUCCACAUCUGAUAGACUCUUAUCAGCACCCUGUGAUGUGUUUAGCUCUGUGAAGGCCUCAUCACCCUCAUGUCCUUCUCCACUGUCCUUACUGCCAUUCUCCUGACCCUGAGCAGCCUUCAUCACCUUCACUUUCUCCUCUGUCUGAGACACUCUCAUUAAGGGAGAUGCACUCAUUAUGCCAUCAAGGAAAAGACGGGUAUGUUGCUUGUCAUGCACUUUAUAUGCCAGAGUUUGUUUCUUUCCACUUGUUGAAAGUCACUUAGAUUCUGGCAGUUGUCUAUUGUAUAA